AAAACAUGUCUAUAUGAUUGUUAUAUAAAGUCUAGCCUGCCCACUGAUUGAAAUUUAAAGGGCCGCGGUAUACUGACCGUGCGAAGGUAGCAUAAUCAUUAGUCUUUUAAUUGAAGGCUUGUAUGAAUGGUUGGACAAAAAGUAAGCUGUCUCAGUUAUAAUAAUUGAAUUUAACUUUUAAGUGAAAAGGCUUAAAUGGAUUAAGGGGACGAUAAGACCCUAUAAAGCUUGACAAUAAGUUAAUUAUAUUAUAAAUUGUUAGUAUAACUUGAUUUUAAUUGACGUUUGUUACGUUGGGGCGACGAGAAUAUAAUGAGUAACUGUUCUUAAAUGUUUAUUGACAAAUAUAAUUGGUAUUUGAUUGAUCCUUUAUUAAAGAUUAAAAGAUUAAGUUACUUUAGGGAUAACAGCGUAAUCUUCUUUGAGAGUUCAUAUCGACAAGAAGGUUUGCGACCUCGAUGUUGAAUUAAGGUAUCCUUAUGAUGCAGCAGUUAUAAAGGAAGGUCUGUUCGACCUUUAAAUCCUUACAUGAUCUGAUC
RNAcentral lists this ribosomal RNA (539 nucleotides) under Penaeus semisulcatus. RNAcentral's name for it is "partial large subunit ribosomal RNA". It matches the Rfam family "Bacterial large subunit ribosomal RNA", at positions 1810 to 2610 of the family's 2925-position model. The record is from RNAcentral. Lineage: Eukaryota; Metazoa; Arthropoda; Malacostraca; Decapoda; Penaeidae.